GUGGUUAGAGUGUAGAGGCGGCAGGGUAGCCUAGUGGUUAGAGUGUAGAGGCGGCAGGGUAGCCUAGUGGUUAGAGUGUAGAGGCGGCAGGGUAGCCUAGUGGUUAGAGUGUAGAGGCGGCAGGGUAGCCUAGUGGUUAGAGUGUAGAGGCGGCAGGGUAGCCUAGUGGUUAGAGUGUAGGGGCGGCAGGGUAGCCUAGUGGUUAGAGUGUAGAGGCGGCAGGGUAGCCUCGUGGUUAGAGUGUAGAGGCGGCAGGGUAGCCUCGUGGUUAGUGUAGAGGCGGCAGGGUAGCCUCGUGGUUAGAGUGUAGAGGCGGCAGGGUAGCCUCGUGGUUAGAGUGUAGAGGCGGCAGGGUAGCCUCGUGGUUAGAGUGUAGAGGCGGCAGGGUAGCCUCGUGGUUAGAGUGUAGAGGCGGCAGGGUAGCCUCGUGGUUAGAGUGUAGAGGCGGCAGGGUAGCCUCGUGGUUAGAGUGUAGAGGCGGCAGGGUAGCCUCGUGGUUAGAGUGUAGAGGCGGCAGGGUAGCCUCGUGGUUAGAGUGUAGAGGCGGCAGGGUAGCCUCGUGGUUAGAGUGUAGAGGCGGCAGGCUAGCCUCGUGGUUAGAGUGUAGAGGCGGCAGGGUAGCCUCGUGGUUAGAGUGUAGAGGCGGCAGGGUAGCCUCGUGGUUAGAGUGUAGAGGCGGCAGGGUAGCCUCGUGGUUAGAGCCUUGGACUAGUAACCGGAAGGAUACAAGUUCAAACACCCGAGCUGACAAAAUCCAGUAGUAUACUUCAUUAGACUGUAAAUCCAGAGGUAUACUUCAUUAGACUGUAAAUCCAGUAGUAUACUUCAUUAGACUGUAAAUCCAGAGGUAUAUUUCAUUAGACUGUAAAUCCAGUAGUAUACUUCAUUAGACUGUAAAUCCAGAGGUAUAUUUCAUUAGACUGUAAAUCCAGUAGUAUACUUCAUUAGACUGUAAAUCCAGGGGUAUAUUUCAUUAGACUGUAAAUCCGGGGGUAUACUUCAUUAGACUGUAAAUCCAGGGGUAUACUUCAUUAGACUGUAAAUCCAGGGGUAUACUUCAUUAGACUGUAAAUCCAGGGGUAUAUUUCAUUAGACUGUAAAUCCAGGGGUAUACUUCAUUAGACUGUAAAUCCAGGGGUAUACUUCAUUAGACUGUAAAUCCAGGGGUAUACUUCAUUAGACUGUAAAUCCAGAGGUAUACUUCAUUAGACUGUAAAUCCAGGGGUAUACUUCAUUAGACUGUAAAUCCAGAGGUAUACUUCAUUAGACUGUAAAUCCAGGGGUAUACUUCAUUAGACUGUAAAUCCAGGGGUAUACUUCAUUAGACUGUAAAUCCAGGGGUAUACUUCAUUAGACUGUAAAUCCAGUAGUAUACUUCAUUAGACUGUAAAUCCAGGGGUAUACUUCAUUAGACUGUUACAAUAUUUGCCCAUUAUUCUUUAAAAAAGUCUGCAAGCUCUGUCAAGUUGAUUGUUGGUCAUUGAAAGACAGCCAUUUGCAAGUCUUGCAAUAGAUGUUCAAGCUGAUUUCAGACAACUUUAACUCUGUCACUCAGGAACAUUCAAAGUCUUGUUUGGUAUGCAACUCCCGUGUAGAUUUGGAAUUGUGUUUUAGGUUAUUGUCCAGGUGAAAGGUGAAUUCGUCUCCCAGUGUCUGGUGGAAAGCAGACUGAACCAGGUUUUCCUCUAGGAUUUUGCGUGUGCUGAACUUAUUUAGGCUUGUGCCAUAACAAAGGGGUUGAAUACUCGUUGAUUCAAGACAUAUCAGCUUCACAAUUUAAUUAAUUUCUAAAAUGUUCAACAAACUAAAUUCCCCUUUGACGUCGUGGGGUAUUGUGUGUAGGCCAGUGACAUGCAAUCUACUGUAUUUAAAAUGGAGGCUGAAAUACAGCAACAUGACCAUGGAUGACUGUAUAGACUUUUGACCCUGUG
Oncorhynchus keta (chum salmon) is the source of this 1931-nucleotide long non-coding RNA. RefSeq lists it as uncharacterized. The record is from RefSeq and is a predicted model, not a curated record. NCBI's taxonomy places the organism in Eukaryota, Metazoa, Chordata, Actinopteri, Salmoniformes, Salmonidae. The transcript has 3 exons.